AGAGUUUGAUCCUGGCUCAGAGUGAACGCUGGCGGCGUGGCUAAGACAUGCAAGUCGGGCGGCAAGGUAGCAAUACCCUAGAGCGGCGAACGGGUGCGUAACACGUGAACAAUCUUCCGAAAAGUUGGGGAUAGCCCCGGGAAACUGGGAUUAAUACCGAAUGUGGACCUCGGCGGCAUCGCCGGGUAUCCAAAGCUUGCAACGGCGCUUUUCGAGGAGUUCGCGGCCUAUCAGCUAGUUGGCGGGGUAACGGCCCACCAAGGCGAAGACGGGUAACCGGUCUGAGAGGACGAUCGGUCACACCGGAACUGAGACACGGUCCGGACACCUACGGGUGGCAGCAGUUUCGAAUCAUUCACAAUGGGGGCAACCCUGAUGGUGCGACGCCGCGUGGAGGAUGAAGGUCUUCGGAUUGUAAACUCCUGUCAAGGGGGACUAACCCUGUGGUUCAUACCCACAGCUGCAUUAACCCCUAGAGGAAGCAGUGGCUAACUCUGUGCCAGCAGCCGCGGUAAUACAGAGACUGCAAGCGUUACUCGGAAUCACUGGGCGUAAAGGGAGCGCAGGCGGAAUCGUGUGUCGGGUGUGAAACCCUUGGGCUCAACUCAAGGACUGCGCCCGAAACUGCGAUUCUAGGGACUCGGAGGGGCCGGUAGAAUUCCUGGUGGAGCAGUGAAAUGCGUAGAUAUCAGGAGGAAUACCAACGGCGAAGGCAGCCGGCUGGACGAGAUCCGACGCUCAGGCUCGAAAGUAUGGGGAGCAAAAAGGAUUAGAUACCCUAGUAGUCC
RNAcentral lists this ribosomal RNA (788 nucleotides) under uncultured bacterium. RNAcentral's name for it is "bacterial SSU rRNA". It matches the Rfam family "Bacterial small subunit ribosomal RNA", at positions 8 to 796 of the family's 1533-position model. The record is from RNAcentral.